RNAcentral lists this long non-coding RNA (966 nucleotides) under Populus trichocarpa (black cottonwood). RNAcentral's name for it is "long non-coding RNA (PTRI_LNC002365)". The record is from RNAcentral. Lineage: Eukaryota; Viridiplantae; Streptophyta; Magnoliopsida; Malpighiales; Salicaceae.
GUUUCAGACUAGAAAGAGACGUUCAACGAAGUUAAAGUACUGUACUAGCUAGUCAUGCAUGCAGCAUGCAACAGGCAAGUACAAAUCAAAAUGACAUGUGUACUAUUAUUGCAAAGGCAUUCAAAGAUGAAAUUUACAAGUGAUCAAGAAGAAAGAGGAAAUUAUUCACACAGACAAUCAAUUUAAGUUCAUUGAUAAUUAUAAAGGUAAUAAUUAAUAAAUACUAAUCCUCACUCCUCCCUCUCCAUGAUCUCAUGUUUUGGUUCCUUAACCUAUCUUGAAGGCUUUAUUGCAGUACAUCAUAGAGAACUUCACACUAGCAACCAUAAAUAAUUAUGAGAAGUAAUAUUUAAUCGUACUUGCAUCUUGUAAGAAUGCUGCAGAAUAGCCUAAUGAAUGGGAGAAUGUGGUGGCAAGGGAGGCCAUUUUCCGAAUUUGGGGUGGUGGAAGUACUUUGGAGGAAUCUUGGGGUAAGGAGGAAGCUUAGGAAGAGGGCAUGGCUUCUUAUGAAAUGGAGGGAUCUUUGGGAUUGGAGGCAGUGGCUUAUAAAUUGGAACGGGAGGUGGUAAAGGCUUGUAGAUGGGAAUAGGAGGUGGUAGAGGCUUGAAGAUUGGUGGUUUUGGUUUUGGCUUGUAAAUUGGCACUGGAGGUGGCUUGAAGAUUGGUGGUUUUGGUUUUGGCUUGUAAAUUGGCACUGGAGGUGGCUUGAAGAUUGGUUCUUGUGGAUUGGAGGGAAGACCUUUGGUGGGAGAGGAGGGAAAAUCUUUUGAGGGAGUGGAGGAAAGACCUUAGGUGGGAAUAGGUAAGGAUGGUGAAAGUUUUUCGAUGGUGGAAGUUUCCAUGUAGGCAAUGGAAGCGGUUUAGUUAUCGGUGGAUGAGGCCACAAGAAUGCAGAAGUGCAAGUAACAGGUGAAAAUUUCAGUUUCCCUGCCAGCCCGAAUGUGUGUUUCUCAUCAGUUUUCGACU